This 724-nucleotide ribosomal RNA is filed under the name Bacillus sp. FJAT-4589. RNAcentral's name for it is "bacterial SSU rRNA". It matches the Rfam family "Bacterial small subunit ribosomal RNA", at positions 60 to 766 of the family's 1533-position model. Lineage: Bacteria; Bacillati; Bacillota; Bacilli; Caryophanales; Bacillaceae. The record is from RNAcentral.
AGUCGAGCGGACAGAUGGGAGCUUGCUCCCUGAUGUUAGCGGCGGACGGGUGAGUAACACGUGGGUAACCUGCCUGUAAGACUGGGAUAACUCCGGGAAACCGGGGCUAAUACCGGAUGCUUGUUUGAACCGCAUGGUUCAAACAUAAAAGGUGGCUUCGGCUACCACUUACAGAUGGACCCGCGGCGCAUUAGCUAGUUGGUGAGGUAACGGCUCACCAAGGCAACGAUGCGUAGCCGACCUGAGAGGGUGAUCGGCCACACUGGGACUGAGACACGGCCCAGACUCCUACGGGAGGCAGCAGUAGGGAAUCUUCCGCAAUGGACGAAAGUCUGACGGAGCAACGCCGCGUGAGUGAUGAAGGUUUUCGGAUCGUAAAGCUCUGUUGUUAGGGAAGAACAAGUACCGUUCGAAUAGGGCGGUACCUUGACGGUACCUAACCAGAAAGCCACGGCUAACUACGUGCCAGCAGCCGCGGUAAUACGUAGGUGGCAAGCGUUGUCCGGAAUUAUUGGGCGUAAAGGGCUCGCAGGCGGUUCCUUAAGUCUGAUGUGAAAGCCCCCGGCUCAACCGGGGAGGGUCAUUGGAAACUGGGGAACUUGAGUGCAGAAGAGGAGAGUGGAAUUCCACGUGUAGCGGUGAAAUGCGUAGAGAUGUGGAGGAACACCAGUGGCGAAGGCGACUCUCUGGUCUGUAACUGACGCUGAGGAGCGAAAGCGUGGGG